AGUCAACAUGCCCAGAGGACGUGGAUAACCUCGGGAAACUGAGGAUAAACCGCGAUAGGCCAUGAUUUCUGGAAUGGUUUAUGGCUGAAAUCUAUAUGGCCUCUGGAUUGGACUGCGGCCGAUCAGGCUGUUGGUGAGGUAAUGGCCCACCAAACCUGUAACCGGUACGGGCUCUGAGAGGAGGAGCCCGGAGAUGGGCACUGAGACAAGGGCCCAGGCCCUAUGGGGCGCAGCAGGCGCGAAAUCUCUGCAAUAGGCGAAAGCUUGACAGGGUUACUCUGAGUGAUUCCCGCUAAGGGGAUCUUUUGGCACCUCUAAAAAUGGUGCAGAAUAAGGGGUGGGCAAGUCUGGUGUCAGCCGCCGCGGUAAUACCAGCACCCCGAGUGGUCGGGACGAUUAUUGGGCCUAAAGCAUCCGUAGCCGGUACUGCAAGUCUUCCGUUAAAUCCACCUGCUCAACAGUUGGGCUGCGGAGGAUACUACAGCGCUAGGAGGCGGGAGAGGCAAGCGGUACUCAGUGGGUAGGGGUAAAAUCCAUUGAUCCAUUGAAGACCACCAGUGGCGAAGGCGGCUUGCCAGAACGCGCUCGACGGUGAGGGAUGAAAGCUGGGGGAGCAAACCGGAUUAGAUACCCGGGUAGUCCCAGCUGUAAACGAUGCAGACUCGGUGAUGGGCUGGCCUUGUGCCAACCCAGUGCCGCAGGGAAGCCGUUAAGUCUGCCGCCUGGGGAGUGCGGUCGCAAGACUGAAACUUAA
RNAcentral lists this ribosomal RNA (754 nucleotides) under uncultured archaeon. RNAcentral's name for it is "bacterial SSU rRNA". It matches the Rfam family "Archaeal small subunit ribosomal RNA", at positions 102 to 859 of the family's 1478-position model. The record is from RNAcentral.